UAGAGAUCUGGAGGAAUACCGGUGGCGAAGGCGGCCCCCUGGACGAAGACUGACGCUCAGGUGCGAAAGCGUGGGGAGCAAACAGGAUUAGAUACCCUGGUAGUCCACGCUGUAAACGAUGUCGACUUGGAGGUUGUGCCCUUGAGGUGUGGCUUCCGGAGCUAACGCGUUAAGUCGACCGCCUGGGGAGUACGACCGCAAGGUUAAAACUCAAAUGAAUUGACGGGGGCCCGCACAAGCGGUGGAGCAUGUGGUUUAAUUCGAUGCAACGCGAAGAACCUUACCUGGUCUUGACAUCCACGGAA
This 305-nucleotide ribosomal RNA is filed under the name Shigella flexneri. Its description in RNAcentral is "bacterial SSU rRNA". It matches the Rfam family "Bacterial small subunit ribosomal RNA", at positions 691 to 995 of the family's 1533-position model. Lineage: Bacteria; Pseudomonadati; Pseudomonadota; Gammaproteobacteria; Enterobacterales; Enterobacteriaceae. The record is from RNAcentral.